UUUAUUUCAUCUCACUCAUUGCUUCACCAUAUCUCUUCUAUUUUCAUCACAUUUUCCUAUUUGCUUCCUUCCCCAUAUCAGACCGGCCUUUUCCUUUCCUCUAUCCCACUUAUUCCAAUCUUCUAAUUUCUCUCCUACCGGUGUAGCAGGCCUCUUUUUUUCCAAUCUUCCAUAGCUGACGACGGCUCUGUGCUGCAAAUGUGAGAGUAAUUUUUGUUGGCCAAAGAAUCUCAUCUUGAUUGGUUGCCGACGGCUCUGUGCUCUGUGCUGCAAAUCUGAGUCUUUUUUGGGGGUUGUAUGGCUGCAAUGAAGGAGGAGUUAAAGUGGUGGAGUAUGGCUGCAAAUCUUUUUGGUGGAGUAUGGCUGCAAUCUGAUGACGACUCUCAUCUUUUUUGGGGGUUGAAUGGCUGCAAAUCUGAGUCUUUCUUUCUUUCUUUCUUUUUUAAAGUUGUUUAGAAACUAGAUCUAAUGAUCUUCAAGUUACAAGUGGGGUUUACGAAAACAGAUUUUGUGAUCUUGAAGUCCAAGAAAAAUACCGGUUGAUCCAUUAAUGGUCACUAUGAAGUUCUACAAUUCGGUUAAGAAGGAUGUUCUGCAAUUGGAUUAAGAACAAAAAGGAGAGAACAAAAAGAAAU
This 635-nucleotide long non-coding RNA is filed under the name Coffea arabica (coffee). RNAcentral's name for it is "long non-coding RNA (CARA_LNC003705)". The record is from RNAcentral. Lineage: Eukaryota; Viridiplantae; Streptophyta; Magnoliopsida; Gentianales; Rubiaceae.